AACUGUACCCGAUAAAUCAAAUUAGCAAGACCCCAAAUUCCAUAUAUAUACAGCUUCAAGAUCAACCUGUACAUCCACUUCUGUAUAGCAAAUCAAACUUGAAGCUUGUUCAAUGUAUGAUGCAAAAGAAACAAUCAAGAAGAGACUGGUAGGCAAAUUCACACCGUUUGACUGAGGAUGAUGAUGAUGCCAGAAUCUAUCUUUUCCCCUUUGGAGCUUUUAAUGUCGGUUUUGCACUUCGAGAGACGGAAGAGAGUUUAUCUUUGAAUUGGGUUCUUUGUAUUCGAUAUUCAUGAAUAAUUAUGUAUAAAAUGAAAAAACGAAAACCAUGAGUUUUAUUAUUUUCAUUUUUUACCUU
Olea europaea var. sylvestris is the source of this 358-nucleotide long non-coding RNA. RefSeq lists it as uncharacterized. The record is from RefSeq and is a predicted model, not a curated record. NCBI's taxonomy places the organism in Eukaryota, Viridiplantae, Streptophyta, Magnoliopsida, Lamiales, Oleaceae. The transcript is spliced from 2 exons.